AGCGAACGCUGGUGGCAGGCUUAACACAUGCAAGUCGAGCGGGCACUUUCGGGUGUCAGCGGCGGACGGGUGAGUAACGCGUGGGAACGUGCCCUCUGGUUCGGAAUAACUCAGGGAAACUUGAGCUAAUACCGGAUACGCCCUUUUGGGGAAAGGCUUGCUGCCGGAGGAUCGGCCCGCGUCUGAUUAGCUAGUUGGUGAGGUAACGGCUCACCAAGGCGACGAUCAGUAGCUGGUCUGAGAGGAUGAUCAGCCACACUGGGACUGAGACACGGCCCAGACUCCUACGGGAGGCAGCAGCGGGGAAUAUUGGACAAUGGGCGCAAGCCUGAUCCAGCCAUGCCGCGUGAGUGAUGAAGGCCUUAGGGUUGUAAAGCUCUUUUAUCCGGGACGAUAAUGACGGUACCGGAGGAAUAAGCCCCGGCUAACUUCGUG
Molecule: ribosomal RNA, 435 nt
Filed under: uncultured bacterium
Lineage: Bacteria
Description: partial 16S ribosomal RNA
Rfam family: Bacterial small subunit ribosomal RNA
Source: RNAcentral